Molecule: long non-coding RNA, 211 nt
Filed under: Sorghum bicolor (sorghum)
Lineage: Eukaryota; Viridiplantae; Streptophyta; Magnoliopsida; Poales; Poaceae
Description: long non-coding RNA (SBIC_LNC006139)
Source: RNAcentral
GGGUGUGAAUGAAAUCUUUGUUCUUUAGUUGCUGAUAGACUUCCUUCUCCGUUCGGGUCUUUAGUCCAAGGUCUCCUAUCUUGAGAAGGACCUUGACUUGUUGAUUAGAUGAAGAUGGCGGAGCUUGUGUGGGCGUUGGGUUGACGCUCAUCUCUGACGGGUGUGAGGAGUGUCGGGAUGAACUCCUUGUACCUAUGUUCUUGAGGGCCUU